This is a long non-coding RNA of Macrobrachium nipponense, 556 nucleotides long. RefSeq lists it as uncharacterized. The transcript has 2 exons. The record is from RefSeq and is a predicted model, not a curated record. Lineage: Eukaryota; Metazoa; Arthropoda; Malacostraca; Decapoda; Palaemonidae.
UUCGAAGAGAGCUUCUCUCCAUAACGAGAAAGAGAACGAGCUCAGCGAACUGAAAAUAAUAUUUUCAACAAUUUCUCCUUAACGAUCGAGGAAUCACCACCUUCCAAAAUGGCCCACCUAAGAACUCAUUCUUUUCAAGAUGGACUCUUUCCUUCGGAUGAGGACGCCAAGAGCCGCAGCUGUUCUUCCGUCAGCGGCAGAAGCUUCCAGAGUGUCAGCAGCAACAGCAACAGUUCGACCUGUGACAGGAGUUGCUGUAGGGACGAGAUGUCUCAUCAUCACGAAAGCAACAGCAAUAACAAAAAGAUGAACAAGAAGAAAUCUCACAGGAAACAGAAAACAAUCGACAGCGAUUUCGUUACGUAUUUCAUCUGUCGCCGCCCAUGAGAUCUUUCUCUCGCUCUCUGUCUGUCUGUCUGUCUCUGUAUUCUUAUCAAAUACGAUUAGUCAUAUUUUGCUUACUGUUGCUGGUGUUACAUUUUCAAUGCUAUAUUUUAUAUUUAUUUGAUUACAUUUAAAAGCUAUUUUGUAUAUAAAUAAAGACUUAAAAGAAUCA